Molecule: transfer RNA, 66 nt
Filed under: Actinomyces denticolens
Lineage: Bacteria; Bacillati; Actinomycetota; Actinomycetes; Actinomycetales; Actinomycetaceae
Also listed under: 4 other names
Rfam family: tRNA
About the family: Transfer RNA (tRNA) molecules are approximately 80 nucleotides in length. Their secondary structure includes four short double-helical elements and three loops (D, anti-codon, and T loops).
Source: RNAcentral
CGGUAGCUCAGUGGAUAGAGCGUCUGCCUCCGGAGCAGAAGGUCGCAGGUUCGAAUCCUGUCCGGG